GACGAACGCUGGCGGCGCGCUUAACACAUGCAAGUCGAACGGAAAGGCCCUGCUUUUGUGGGGUGCUCGAGUGGCGAACGGGUGAGUAACACGUGAGUAACCUGCCCUUGACUUUGGGAUAACUUCAGGAAACUGGGGCUAAUACCGGAUAGGAGCUCCUGCUGCAUGGUGGGGGUUGGAAAGUUUCGGCGGUUGGGGACGGACUCGCGGCUUAUCAGCUUGUUGGUGGGGUAGUGGCUUACCAAGGCUUUGACGGGUAGCCGGCCUGAGAGGGUGACCGGCCACAUUGGGACUGAGAUACGGCCCAGACUCCUACGGGAGGCAGCAGUGGGGAAUAUUGCACAAUGGGCGGAAGCCUGAUGCAGCAACGCCGCGUGCGGGAUGACGGCCUUCGGGUUGUAAACCGCUUUCGCCUGUGACGAAGCGUGAGUGACGGUAAUGGGUAAAGAAGCACCGGCUAACUACGUG
This 468-nucleotide ribosomal RNA is filed under the name uncultured bacterium. RNAcentral describes it as "partial 16S ribosomal RNA". It matches the Rfam family "Bacterial small subunit ribosomal RNA", at positions 28 to 507 of the family's 1533-position model. The record is from RNAcentral.